UCAAAAUUCACCUAUGCUGAAACUUUCUGCAUCAAUAUGCGUUUUGAACCUUUCUAAGUCGAUCUAGAUUGAAAUUUUUUUUUUGAUUUGCCCGAAAUUUUCUAAGUCUGACUUUGGUUUAUAAAGGCAGCACUUGCCUUGCGAUAGUAACUUUUAGUUUAUAGUUGAUUCGAUCACGAAGCCAGCGAACGGCUAAGCGUAGUAGAAAGUAUAUUAAAACACGGCUAAGCAUUUCUUAUAUCAAAAUGCGCAUUAAAAUUCCCCUGUGCCAAAACUUACUGCAUCAAUAGGAAGUUCUGAAGCAUCCUAAGUGGAUUUAUAUCAAAAUAUGUUUGUAAGUCAAACUCUUUGUUCGCAAUUUUCCAACAGAAUCUCAGCUUAGUUGACUCAAUAAUCCGGGUAGCAGGUUAGCAUAGUACAAAGCAUAAUGAAGGACGGGUUAGCAUUUCUUAUAUCAAAAUGCCCUUUAAAACAACCUCGUUCCCAGAGCUUUUCCCUUUGCUUUAAAAUUCCCCUAUGCCGAAACUUUCUACAUCAAUAUGCGUUUUGAACCUUUCUAAGUCGAUCUAGAUCGAACAUUUUUUUUCGAUUUGCCCGAAAUUUUCUAAGUUUGACUUUGGUUUAUAAAGGCAGCACUUGCUUUGCGAUAGUAACUUCUAGUUUUUAGGUGACUCGAUCCACAAAGCUGGCAAACGGCUAAGCGUUGUAGAAGGUAUAUUAAAACACGGCUAAGCACGCCUAAGCAUUUUUUAUAUAAAAAUGCGCAUUAAAAUUCCCCUGUACCAAAACUUUUUGCAUCAAUUAAUAUGCGUUCUGAACCUUUCUCAGUCGGUCUAUAACAAAAUUUUUUUUCAUUUUGCCCAAAAUGAGAUUCACCUCAUAAGAUAAGCGAGUCACAACAAUGUACUUGUGUUUUUAAUUUUACGAGAAUUACAUGUCGUCCACUGAUGGUUUAGUGGUAUGUUGUUUGGCCUGUCUCGAUAAAUUUACAUUUGAGUUCAAAUCCAGUUGAACUCAUGUUUUGUAGCGGACUCACAAUAUUUUUUUUCCUUUAUUUAUUCUGGCUAUUUUUUAUUCUUUUUAUACCUCUAUGUGCAAAGUCCGUUGACAAGUUUUUCUUUAUUUUUUGUUUAUUUUUCACUGUUUUGGGUUUUCUAGUGUUUUGAAUAAAAUUCCCGCCUAUUUGCAAAACAGGAGUUCACAAUCCUGUUGAAAAUGUGUUUCAGCGGUCGUUACUCGCUGCUUACUUUAUGUAAUUUUCUGUUUAAACGCCCAACGCACAGUUAACUACGUGAUUAGUUAACUAUCCGACUAACUACGUUUUGUGCAACGCAGUUAAGUCGUGUAGUUAACUAAUUACAGUUAAGGAUUUAACUAGAGCGAUUAACGCUAACUACAGUUAGCGCUAAUUACGUUUUUAUACAACCGGCCCCCGAUUUGGGUAUCAAUUUCCCGUUUGUAAUCUAAAAUGACUGAAAAUUGCAAACUUCGCAAGGCUAUAUUAUCCAUGGCCAGAAAUUCAGGACAACAUGGCGAUUAGCAUACGCAAUGUGCUUCCUCAUUCAUUAUUCAAGAUGGCUGAUUUAUAAUAGAUUAAGUAUUGCAAAAUAUUUUUUUUAGCAAUUUCCAACGUUUUUUGUACAUAAGUCCGACCUCUGCACGUCGAAAACAUCAUUUAAUUACUCGAUCCUUUAACCGAAUAAAUUUCAGAACAGUUCAAGUAGGGCAACCCAGUUCCCG
This 1740-nucleotide long non-coding RNA is filed under the name Paramuricea clavata. Lineage: Eukaryota; Metazoa; Cnidaria; Anthozoa; Malacalcyonacea; Plexauridae. The record is from RNAcentral.